GGCGAGUGAAGCGGGAAAAGCUCAAAUUUGUAAUCUGGCGCCUUCGGUGUCCGAGUUGUAAUCUCGAGAAGUAUUUUCCGCGCUGGACCGCACAUAAGUCUGUUGGAAUACAGCGUCAUAGUGGUGAGAACCCCGUAUAUGGUGCGGAUGCCCAGUGCUUUGUGAUAUACUUUCGAAGAGUCGAGUUGUUUGGGAAUGCAGCUCAAAUUGGGUGGUAAAUUCCAUCUAAAGCUAAAUAUUGGCGAGAGACCGAUAGCGAACAAGUACCGUGAGGGAAAGAUGAAAAGCACUUUGGAAAGAGAGUUAACAGUACGUGAAAUUGUUGGAAGGGAAACGCUUGAAGUCAGACUUGCAUUUUGGAGUUCAGCCGCAAGGUGUAUUCUUCAAAUCGCAGGCCAGCAUCAGUUUUUGGGGGUGGAAAAUCGCGGUUUGAAGGUAGCAGUCUCGGCUGUGUUAUAGCUUUCCGCUGGAUUCACUUUUGGGGACUGAGGAACGCAGUACGCUUUUUGCAAGACUCUAGAGUCUUCCGUACUUAGGAUGCUGGUGGAAUGGCUUUAAACGA
Molecule: ribosomal RNA, 562 nt
Filed under: Microbotryum scabiosae
Lineage: Eukaryota; Fungi; Basidiomycota; Microbotryomycetes; Microbotryales; Microbotryaceae
Description: eukaryotic LSU rRNA
Rfam family: Eukaryotic large subunit ribosomal RNA
Source: RNAcentral